Molecule: small nuclear RNA, 156 nt
Filed under: Oncorhynchus mykiss (rainbow trout)
Lineage: Eukaryota; Metazoa; Chordata; Actinopteri; Salmoniformes; Salmonidae
Description: U1 spliceosomal RNA (ENSOMYG00000072132.1)
Rfam family: U1 spliceosomal RNA
About the family: U1 is a small nuclear RNA (snRNA) component of the spliceosome (involved in pre-mRNA splicing). Its 5' end forms complementary base pairs with the 5' splice junction, thus defining the 5' donor site of an intron. There are significant differences in sequence and secondary structure between metazoan and yeast U1 snRNAs, the latter being much longer (568 nucleotides as compared to 164 nucleotides in human).
Source: RNAcentral
AUACUUACCUGGCAAGGGAGACACCGUGAUCACGAAGGCGGUUCACCCAGGGCGAGGCUCAGCCAUUGCACUCCGGCUGUGCUGACCCCUGCGAAAUGUGGAAAUCUCGAUUGCAUAAUUUAUGGUAGUGGGGGACUGCGUUCGCGCUCUCCCCUG